Molecule: ribosomal RNA, 427 nt
Filed under: uncultured bacterium
Lineage: Bacteria
Description: partial 16S ribosomal RNA
Rfam family: Bacterial small subunit ribosomal RNA
Source: RNAcentral
UGGGGAAUAUUGCACAAUGGGCGCAAGCCUGAUGCAGCCAUGCCGCGUGUGUGAAGAAGGCCUUCGGGUUGUAAAGCACUUUCAGCGAGGAGGAAGGGUAGUGUGUUAAUAGCACAUUGCAUUGACGUUACUCGCAGAAGAAGCACCGGCUAACUCCGUGCCAGCAGCCGCGGUAAUACGGAGGGUGCAAGCGUUAAUCGGAAUUACUGGGCGUAAAGCGCACGCAGGCGGUUUGUUAAGUCAGAUGUGAAAUCCCCGCGCUUAACGUGGGAACUGCAUUUGAAACUGGCAAGCUAGAGUCUUGUAGAGGGGGGUAGAAUUCCAGGUGUAGCGGUGAAAUGCGUAGAGAUCUGGAGGAAUACCGGUGGCGAAGGCGGCCCCCUGGACAAAGACUGACGCUCAGGUGCGAAAGGGUGGGGAGCAAACA